RNAcentral lists this unclassified non-coding RNA (329 nucleotides) under soil metagenome. Its description in RNAcentral is "partial contains 5.8S ribosomal RNA, internal transcribed spacer 2, and large subunit ribosomal RNA". The stretch from base 1 to 120 matches the Rfam family "5.8S ribosomal RNA", at positions 35 to 154 of the family's 154-position model. The record is from RNAcentral.
GAUGAAGAACGUAGCGAAAUGCGAUAAGUAGCGUGAAUUGCAGAAUUCAGUGAAUCAUCGAAUCUUUGAACGCACAUUGCGCCCCUUGGUAUCCCGAGGGGCAUGCCUGUUCGAGCGUCAUUUCACCACUCAAGCCUGGCUUGGUGUUGGGCGACGUCCCCUUUGGGGACGCGCCUCGAAACGCUCGGCGGCGUGGCACCGGCUUUAAGCGUAGCAGAAUCUUUCGCUUUGGAAGUCGGGGCCCCGUCUGCCGGAAGACCUACUCGCAAGGUUGACCUCGGAUCAGGCAGGGAUACCCGCUGAACUUAAGCAUAUCAAUAAGCGGAGGA